This 460-nucleotide ribosomal RNA is filed under the name uncultured bacterium. RNAcentral's name for it is "partial 16S ribosomal RNA". It matches the Rfam family "Bacterial small subunit ribosomal RNA", at positions 338 to 795 of the family's 1533-position model. The record is from RNAcentral.
CCUACGGGUGGCAGCAGUGAGGAAUAUUGGUCAAUGGACGAGAGUCUGAACCAGCCAAGUAGCGUGAAGGAUGACUGCCCUACGGGUUGUAAACUUCUUUUAUAUGGGAAUAAAAUGUUCCACGUGUGGGAUUUUGUAUGUACCAUAUGAAUAAGGAUCGGCUAACUCCGUGCCAGCAGCCGCGGUAAUACGGAGGAUCCGAGCGUUAUCCGGAUUUAUUGGGUUUUAAGGGAGCGUAGGUGGAGUGUUAAGUCAGUUGUGAAAGUUUGCGGCUCAACCGUAAAAUUGCAGUUGAAACUGGCAGUCUUGAGUACAGUAGAGGUGGGCGGAAUUCGUGGUGUAGCGGUGAAAUGCUUAGAUAUCACGAAGAACUCCGAUUGCGAAGGCAGUUCACUGGACUGCAACUGACACUGAGGCUCGAAAGUGUGGGUAUCAAACAGGAUUAGAUACCCCUGUAGUC